Molecule: long non-coding RNA, 382 nt
Organism: Branchiostoma floridae (Florida lancelet)
Lineage: Eukaryota; Metazoa; Chordata; Leptocardii; Amphioxiformes; Branchiostomatidae
Exons: 4
Source: RefSeq, a predicted model, not a curated record
ACGUAAUUGCUAAUGCCCACGUGACAUAGAACACAUUACAAGUGUGCAGGAGAUUUCAAGGACAAACGCCGCGCUGUGCCUUUGACAAAUUUCUUACAUUCCUGAAUCAAUACCCAGAAUCUCGACAUGGCGAACAUUCGCAUCCUACUGAUUGUUGCCGUCGUUUUUGCAGUCGUCACAAUGUCCAGCUGUCAGUCAACUGUGACAGAUGCUGUUACUACUGCGACUGAUGCUGUUACUACUGUUACUGACUCGGGGGUGACAGGGAAUGCAACUACGGCUGAUCCGUCAUCUGGGGGAGAUGUUCUCCACGCCAGCCUGGGCAUGUUCUGUGCAGCAGUGCUCUUGUCACUUCACUUCUAGGUCAUAGUCACACAUAAGC